UUAUUUAGAUAUUUAUUAAAAUCUUUUAUUUAUAUAUUUAUUUAAUAAAAAUAAUUUAAUUUUUAGUAUAUUUUAUAGAAAUAAAAUUAAUAAUUUAAAGUACUGUGUAGGAAUAUAUUUAAAAUCUUUAUAAGAACUAUUUUAUUAGGUACCUUUUGUAUCAGGGUUAAUUAAAUUUUAUUAAUUUAUUAAUUAUUUUCCCGAAAUAAAAAGAUUUAUAAUUAUAUUUUUUAUUUUAUGUCAAAACAAUAUAUAAUAUAAUUAUAGUUGUUAUAUGCUAUUCAUUUUUUAUAUAUCUGGUUUUUUAAUAAUUUAAUUUAAUUAAUAAUUUAAAGUGCAAUUUUUUAAUUUUAUUAUUUAUUCUCUUUUAAUUAAAUCAGUCUAAGGAUAAGCUAAGACUGAUUUCUAUAAUUUUUUAUAAUUUAAUUUUUGUAGGAUUAAUAUUUUCCAUCCUUUAUUUAUUUAUAUAAAAUUUUAAUUUAUUUUUUAUUUUUUACUAUUUAGAUAUUUAUUAAAAUCUUUUAUUUAAUUUUUUGUUUUUUAAUAAUGAUUAAAUUAGUAUAAUUUAAAAUAAAAAUAUAAUAACUCGGCAAAUAUUAUUUUUACCUGUUUAACAAAAACAUGUCUUUUUGUUUUUAAUUUAAAGUCAGGCCUGCCCCAUGAUUUAUUUUAAUGGCCGCAGUAUAUUAACUGUGCAAAGGUAGCAUAAUCAUUUGUUAUUUAAUUGAUAACUGGAAUGAAUGGUUUUAUAAAAAAUAUUCUUUUUUUAUUUUUAAUUUAAAAUUUUAUUUUAAAGUCAAAAAGCUUUAAUUUAUUUAUUAGACGAUAAGACCCUUUAGAACUUUAAUAUUAUUUUGAAUUAUAUUUUUAGUUUUAUAAAUAUAAAUUAUUUAUAUAUUUUUGUUGGGGUGACAGUUAAUUUUUUAAAACUUUAAUUUAUAUUUAUUCAUAUAUUUAUGAUUUUUUUGAUCCAAUAUUUUUGAUUAUAAGAUUAAGUUACCUUAGGGAUAACAGCGUAAUUUUGUUGGAGAGUUCUUAUUAAUAACAAAGUUUGCGACCUCGAUGUUGGAUUAAAAUAAUAUUUUGGUGUAGAAGCUAAUUUUAUUAGUCUGUUCGACUAUUAAUUUUUUACAUGAUCUGAGUUCAAACCGGCGUAAGCCAGGUUGGUUUCUAUCUUUAAUUUUUUAAUAUAAUUUAGUACGAAAGGACCAAUUAUAUAAAUUAUUUUUUAUAUUUGAAUAUAAUU
RNAcentral lists this ribosomal RNA (1246 nucleotides) under Orius sauteri. RNAcentral describes it as "16S ribosomal RNA". Lineage: Eukaryota; Metazoa; Arthropoda; Insecta; Hemiptera; Anthocoridae. The record is from RNAcentral.